AGUUGACAGACACUUUUCCUCAGUGACAAAAUGGACUCUUUUAAAGGACCUUGUCCUCAUCAGAGCGUUCCAGUUGAAAUGGAUGAGAGCAUGACAUCCUCCAGUCUGGACAUGGUCUUGCCUCCCCCAUGCAAACAGUGUAUUGGGGACACAGAGAUCAGCAAAAGGCUGCAGGAAUACGACUGUGAGCAAUCCAAGGGGGCAGUGCGCGAUGCCGGCCAGUGGGGAGUCCCUGAGGGCCAGCACAAACCCAGAGCAGCCUGUUAUCCUGUCGCCCAUCCUCGUUUCAUCCCCCCUUCACACUUAGGACAGAUGAACCCCCCCUACCCUGCAGGUCUCAGAGAGCAGGAGCUGCUGUAUGAACAGGAUCUCAGAGUCAACAAUAGUAGAGGUUUUGCACACCCUUCAAACUAUCCCCAGGAUCGCUCUGUGGAGGAGACGGAAAGCUUGGAGCUCCCUCACACACUCGUGUCUCUUAACUACAACCAGUGUGUCCCAUCUCGAUACCCUGCACCACGUAUGCCCGGCCACAAUCCAAUGCCGGGGAGUUUUCCCGGACAGUGUGCAUGCUGCCUUCCAGCAAAUCUGCCCCAUCUCGAUAAUAAUUAUCGUCAUUAUAAAUAUGAUUACCCAGCGGAUCCUCACCAGGAGCCUCAAUACCGCCAACAGUCAUGGAACCCCCCUAAUAACAGGCUGCAACAUAAACAGGCUCCAAAUGCCCCCCAAGGAUCUGCACCUCGGCUUGUGGCCCCUCAUAGAGAUUUGAUGCAUGAGGUCAGCGUGGAUCGCUCCUUCCAGGCUGGUCCAGGACCAGCCACGAGGGAGAUCAGGAGGACCAUCUCCCUGUCUAAGGAGUGUAGGAAUGUUUUCAUCACAUAUUCAUUGGACACGGCAGAUGAAAUGCUUACUUUCGCCAAAUUUCUGACCGAUCAGGGAUUCGAAGCAGCAGUAAGUCAGGUCAAUUGUCCAUCACCUUUGAUUGUUUUCAUACAAACAGUCACACCCCGCCAAUCUCUCAAUAGAUCGACAUCUUUGAUAAUCCAGUCCGGAGAAUGGGCAUCACCAAAUGGAUGGACAGAUUUUUGAAUGAU
This 1091-nucleotide long non-coding RNA is filed under the name Dicentrarchus labrax (European seabass). RNAcentral describes it as "lncRNA (ENSDLAG00005034865.1)". The record is from RNAcentral. Lineage: Eukaryota; Metazoa; Chordata; Actinopteri; Moronidae.